ACUCCAGGCCUGGGUGCAGGGCCGGGUUUUCUCUCUCUCUCUUCUCUGCAGGGUGUGACGGGCAGGUGCUUCUCAUCACAACUAAUUGGAGCCCUUCUUAAGGAGCAGAGGCCAGGAGGAGGGCGUCAGUUCUUUCUCGCUUCCAGCGUGAACCUUUCGCCUACGCCACAGAUACCUCAAGCCUGGAACCCUAGGGCAACUGAACGUUCCCUGAUCGUCUGCCAGUGCAAGCCCUCCUCCUAGAGCUCACCUGCCUGUCCACCCUCAAGCCAUCUGCACAAGAGAGCAUCUCAGGAUUUUCACCCGGACCCAGGACAUCACCCCUCCUGGUCCUUGGCAAGCCUCCGACUCAACCAGAAGACUAUCAAACCGGACACCACCAACACCUGAGACCCUGCACUCUAAACAAUAACCAGAUCAAUAAACCAGAUUCAACUAAA
Molecule: long non-coding RNA, 440 nt
Organism: Fundulus heteroclitus (mummichog)
Lineage: Eukaryota; Metazoa; Chordata; Actinopteri; Cyprinodontiformes; Fundulidae
Exons: 2
Source: RefSeq, a predicted model, not a curated record